UCCCUGGUGGCUCAGACAGUAGAGCAUCUGUCUACAAUGCAGGAGACCAGGGUUCGAUCCCUGGGUUGGGAA
Ovis aries (sheep) is the source of this 72-nucleotide transfer RNA. It matches the Rfam family "tRNA". Rfam says of the family: Transfer RNA (tRNA) molecules are approximately 80 nucleotides in length. Their secondary structure includes four short double-helical elements and three loops (D, anti-codon, and T loops). NCBI's taxonomy places the organism in Eukaryota, Metazoa, Chordata, Mammalia, Artiodactyla, Bovidae. The record is from Rfam.